AGUGAACGCUGGCGGUAGGCCUAACGCAUGCAAGUCGAACGGCAGCACAGUAAGAGCUUGCUCUUACGGGUGGCGAGUGGCGGACGGGUGAGGAAUACAUCGAAAUCUACUUUUUCGUGGGGGAUAACGUAGGGAAACUUACGCUAAUACCGCAUACGACCUACGGGUGAAAGCAGGGGAUCUUCGGACCUUGCGCGAUUGAAUGAGCCGAUGUCGGAUUAGCUAGUUGGCGGGGUAAAGGCCCACCAAGGCGACGAUCCGUAGCUGGUCUGAGAGGAUGAUCAGCCACACUGGAACUGAGACACGGUCCAGACUCCUACGGGAGGCAGCAGUGGGGAAUAUUGGACAAUGGGCGCAAGCCUGAUCCAGCCAUACCGCGUGGGUGAAGAAGGCCUUCGGGUUGUAAAGCCCUUUUGUUGGGAAAGAAAAGCAGCAGGUUAAUACCCCGCUGUUCUGACGGUACCCAAAGAAUAAGCACCGGCUAACUUCGUG
Molecule: ribosomal RNA, 492 nt
Filed under: uncultured bacterium
Lineage: Bacteria
Description: partial 16S ribosomal RNA
Rfam family: Bacterial small subunit ribosomal RNA
Source: RNAcentral